Molecule: small nuclear RNA, 313 nt
Filed under: Erinaceus europaeus (western European hedgehog)
Lineage: Eukaryota; Metazoa; Chordata; Mammalia; Eulipotyphla; Erinaceidae
Description: 7SK RNA
Rfam family: 7SK RNA
About the family: 7SK was discovered as an abundant small nuclear RNA in the mid-70s but a possible function has only recently been suggested. Two independent studies have found that 7SK RNA binds the CDK9/cyclin T complex (known as elongation factor P-TEFb).
Source: Rfam by way of RNAcentral
GGAUGUGUGAACAAACUGGCUGCGACAUCUGUCACCCCAUUGAUCACCAGGGUUGAUUCAGCUGAUCUGGCUGGCUAGGCAGGUGUCCCCUUCCUUCCUCACCACUCCACGUGUGUCCCCCCUGAAGCUGUGUGCUUGGUUGAAGAGGACGGCUCCUUCCCCAAAUAGACAGACGAGUCUUCGGUCAGUCGAGAUUAUAGGAGCUAGCUGUGCUCCUGCUUAGAAACUCCAAUCAAGCUCUCAAGGUCCAAAUACAACAAGAACGAAGAUCUGAUUUUGUUCCUAAACACAGAUAAAUGUGUCCCUCUUCUUU